CCUACGGGAGGCAGCAGUGGAGAAUAUUGCACAAUGGGCGAAAGCCUGAUGCAGCGACGCCGCGUGAGGGAUGACGGCCUUCGGGUUGUAAACCUCUUUCAGCAGGGAAGAAGCGAGAGUGACGGUACCUGCAGAAGAAGCGCCGGCUAACUACGUGCCAGCAGCCGCGGUAAUACGUAGGGCGCAAGCGUUGUCCGGAAUUAUUGGGCGUAAAGAGCUCGUAGGCGGCUUGUCACGUCGGGUGUGAAAGCCCGGGGCUUAACCCCGGGUCUGCAUUCGAUACGGGCUAGCUAGAGUGUGGUAGGGGAGAUCGGAAUUCCUGGUGUAGCGGUGAAAUGCGCAGAUAUCAGGAGGAACACCGGUGGCGAAGGCGGAUCUCUGGGCCAUUACUGACGCUGAGGAGCGAAAGCGUGGGGAGCGAACAGGAUUAGAUACCCUGGUAGUCCACGCCGUAAACGGUGGGAACUAGGUGUUGGCGACAUUCCACGUCGUCGGUGCCGCAGCUAACGCAUUAAGUUCCCGCCUGGGGAGUACGGCCGCAAGGCAAACUUAAAUGAAUUGACGG
This 565-nucleotide ribosomal RNA is filed under the name uncultured bacterium. Its description in RNAcentral is "bacterial SSU rRNA". It matches the Rfam family "Bacterial small subunit ribosomal RNA", at positions 338 to 916 of the family's 1533-position model. The record is from RNAcentral.